Molecule: ribosomal RNA, 492 nt
Filed under: uncultured bacterium
Lineage: Bacteria
Description: partial 16S ribosomal RNA
Rfam family: Bacterial small subunit ribosomal RNA
Source: RNAcentral
AGUGAACGCUGGCGGUAGGCCUAACACAUGCAAGUCGAACGGCAGCACAGUAAGAGCUUGCUCUUACGGGUGGCGAGUGGCGGACGGGUGAGGAAUACAUCGGAAUCUACUUUUUCGUGGGGGAUAACGUAGGGAAACUUACGCUAAUACCGCAUACGACCUACGGGUGAAAGCAGGGGAUCUUCGGACCUUGCGCGAUUGAAUGAGCCGAUGUCGGAUUAGCUAGUUGGCGGGGUAAAGGCCCACCAAGGCGACGAUCCGUAGCUGGUCUGAGAGGAUGGUCAGCCACACUGGAACUGAGACACGGUCCAGACUCCUACGGGAGGCAGCAGUGGGGAAUAUUGGACAAUGGGCGCAAGCCUGAUCCAGCCAUACCGCGUGGGUGAAGAAGGCCUUCGGGUUGUAAAGCCCUUUUGUUGGGAAAGAACAGCAGCAGGUUAAUACCCCGCUGUUCUGACGGUACCCAAAGAAUAAGCACCGGCUAACUUCGUG